AAGUCGUAACAAGGUUUCCGUAGGUGAACCUGCGGAAGGAUCAUUAACACGUAUCCAACGAUACAAACUAAGACGCAGAACCUAAGUUCCCCGUGUAUUAAACUUCGACGUCGUCGCGGAUUGAGUUGUAGUUGGGUCCCCGGGCUUGGAGAAGGAUUCGUCCUUUGAACGGUCCGGUGUGGCAUGCUCGAACCCGGCUACAUUCCUUUGAGAAUGAGACGAAGAGACCUAAUACUGGGCUAAUUUUACCCACCUCCUUAUUCCAACCACUUUGGGGGGGAGGCUGGGCCCCAUACCCUUUUUUCACCCUAUUUUACCCAUUUGACUAAUUUUCUAUAAUCGAAUUGGAGAAAUCCCUUUCGAUCACCUAAGAUUUAUCUUAACUAAGCACAACUCUUAGCAAUGGAUAUCUUGGUUCUC
RNAcentral lists this unclassified non-coding RNA (420 nucleotides) under fungal sp. Its description in RNAcentral is "partial internal transcribed spacer region". The stretch from base 1 to 46 matches the Rfam family "Eukaryotic small subunit ribosomal RNA", at positions 1786 to 1831 of the family's 1831-position model. Lineage: Eukaryota; Fungi. The record is from RNAcentral.